GGGGAGGCUAGGGGCUUAGGGGAGAAGCCUAGGAGGACGUCUUUCUACAAAUUACCCUUGAAUAGAUGCAGUCUUAAUCAUGUAUUCUGAACCCAAGGUCUCCCUCAAUAAAAAAUAAGAAAGGAUUGCAAGAUCAAAAAGUCAACUGGUCUCUCAAGCCCCUAAUAAACUUUGUAGCUGUCUCAGACACUUUUAGUUUAAAAAAAAACAAAAAAACAAAAAACAAGGUUAAACCCCUGGCCAGGUUCUUGCCUCCCAAGUACAGAUAACUGACGCGGGCUGCGUGUGGGAACUCGUCUCCUCUUUGUAUUUUUCAAUUCUUUGCCGGGUUGUAGCAGUUUCCUCUACCUGAGUCCAGCCGCCAAACACAACAGCUUCUUCCUUCCUCCACCCUUCUCUCCUACCAAACUCAGCUUCUUGGAACCCACCCAGAACACCAUUCAGAUGCAAGUCGAAUGCCCCCACUACUGAAUUGGAGAAGAUGGAGAAGAGGGAAAGAAAAAUUAGGGUAGGUCUCAAUACCAUAAUUUAUACCCUACUCCUGAAAUUAUAGAUUAUUGUUGUUGAAAUCUUUACACAGUUGUUGGACUACACCAAAAUUCUGUAUUCUAUAUGAGCAUAAAUUCAGAUGCAUAAGUACACAGCUACCAUAUCUAUGUAAAUGGAGACAUCCUAGAGUAUUACACCUUGCCACAGAUGUUGGAUUUUAUUCGUGGAAUUAAUAUCUUCCAGAAAAGUUAAAAAUGGAUUUUUCAUCCCCUACGCACCCUGAAUAUUUCUUUAACUAGUAUGUAGGACCACCAUUUUGUCGCUUUGUUAAUCUUGAAAACCAAACGAGUCACGGUGACGCCACCUUAAGACGUCUGGCUGCCAGCAGAAAGGCUGUGCUUACUCCGACCUUGCUAUGAUCUAAAGUGUUUUGUUUACAGUCAAGGCACCGUAGAACUGCGGGGCAAAUAGUGAGAGGGCAGGCGUCCGCUGUAGUAGCGUCGAAGCGUGAAAAAAAUACGACGGAGUCCCCGAGGGAAGAGAACCCGGAGCUGUGAGCGCCAUCCUCCUGUGGACAGUAGGCGGCGGCUUUAAAAGACUGAGCCCGGGAGAAGAAUUUCCAAUAAACAGCCUAAAGGCGGAGCCUGGGAGAAGACAGAAAGUUACACUCGCGCUGCUCUGAUAAAGGGGGUUCGGCUGCCCCCAAGCCCCAGAAUCUCGUCCUGGGUGAUGUUUUUGUUGUCAGUUUCACUCUUGGUAGUCUUCUCCUUAGAGCUGAGAAGUGGCUCAUAAGCCACCCAAGAUUUGUGUGUGUCCUUUAACAGCUUAGGAGAGAGACGAAGACCAAAAUUACUUAAAGGAAAACACCUGUGUGGUAGCCGAAUGUCCCGGCGGGGCGGCUCAGCAAGCUCGCCUCCCAGGUGCAGUUCCUCGCAGGGGGGAAGUCAGGCAGCCCCCAAAACUUCUGCGAAGGCGCACGCUUCCUGGCCCCAUUGCCCCUCCCACCUCGAGCACACGAUUUUAAUCCUUCCUCGAGGAUGCUUACGGUGAGGCGACGCUCGCUCAAUUUCACUAUGCUCCUAAACCGACACAUUUUUAGAGUUUGGAAAUUUCACAGUCUGUUUCUGACCCUUUUAAUUCAAUUUAAUAAAUACUUACUGAGCAUUUUCUAUUAAU
This 1665-nucleotide long non-coding RNA is filed under the name Bos taurus (domestic cattle). RNAcentral's name for it is "long non-coding RNA NONBTAT030697". Lineage: Eukaryota; Metazoa; Chordata; Mammalia; Artiodactyla; Bovidae. The record is from RNAcentral.